AUUGAACGCUGGCGGCAGGCCUAACACAUGCAAGUCGAGCGGAAACGAUCCUAGCUUGCUAGGAGGCGUCGAGCGGCGGACGGGUGAGUAACGCGUGAGAAUCUACCCAUGAGUGGGGGACAACCCGGGGAAACUCGGGCUAAUACCGGAUACGCCCUACGGGGUAAAGCAGGGGACCUUCGGGCCUUGCGCUGAUGGAUGAGCUCGCGUCGGAUUAGCUUGUUGGUGAGGUAAAGGCUCACCAAGGCGACGAUCCGUAGCUGGUCUGAGAGGAUGAUCAGCCACACCGGGACUGAGACACGGCCCGGACUCCUACGGGAGGCAGCAGUGGGGAAUCUUGGACAAUGGGGGCAACCCUGAUCCAGCCAUGCCGCGUGUGUGAAGAAGGCCUUCGGGUUGUAAAGCACUUUCAGCAGGGAGGAAGGCUUACCCCUAAUACGGGUGAGUACUUGACGUUACCUGCAGAAGAAGCACCGGCUAAUUUCGUG
Molecule: ribosomal RNA, 488 nt
Filed under: uncultured bacterium
Lineage: Bacteria
Description: bacterial SSU rRNA
Rfam family: Bacterial small subunit ribosomal RNA
Source: RNAcentral